AUGCACCGCCAGCCCGACGGUACCUCACACGAACGAUGCCUCCUCGCCCUCGCCGAAGUACUUGCCAGUCGGCCCACCGUCCGGCAGCAACGCCACCUUCACCACAUUGCGCGCACCCUCCUCGGGCAUCAGGACGCCCGAGUUCAUGGUUAUGUCCGUCUUGACGUAGCCUGGAUGCGCGCAGUUGACGCGCAGCGCGGGGUGCCUCCUCGCCAGCAUCCUCAAGUAGGCGUUCAUGGCGGCCUUGGCCACCUUGUACGCCGCGAAUCCCGUGGGCCACCCGCGCGCCUCCAGCGCAUCGGCCUCGAAGUCCUUGAAGAACUUGUUCAGCAGCUCGUCCAGCCUCUCCUCCGUGAGGCUGUCGAUGUUGUUGAGCUCCUGCCUCGCCUCCUCGUUGCUGAUAAGUUGCAUAUAUAG
This 417-nucleotide ribosomal RNA is filed under the name Triticum aestivum (bread wheat). RNAcentral's name for it is "partial small subunit ribosomal RNA". Lineage: Eukaryota; Viridiplantae; Streptophyta; Magnoliopsida; Poales; Poaceae. The record is from RNAcentral.